CCCAGAGCCACACAGAGAGCCACACAGAAUACUGCUGGCUCUAUUUGUCUUGGGGUUCCACAGUCAUCUUAACACUUGAGGGUUUAGAGAAAUGUCCUCUUUCUCUUUCCUUUUAAAGUCUUUUUCUUCUUCCAUCUUCAUCUGGGACACCUAGCACUAUUCCUACAAUGGUCUCAGAUCAAGGAUGUCAGCAAAAUUAUUUUUCAGGAAUGAAGGGGAAAUAAAGACCCUCUCAGAUGAAGAAACACUAAGAGAAUUUGUCACCAGUAGACCAUUCCUAAAGGAAGUCCCUGAAACAGAAAGGAAGUGAUUAAAGAAAGAAUCUUGGAACAUCAAAAAGAAAUAACAGGAAGAACAGAAAUAUGGAAGGGCUUACAGCCUACUAUCAAAACAUCUGGCAAUUACCUUGGACACUGAUGCCAAUCUGUCAAGCAAUGAAACUUCUAAUAUUCCAUUAGGAAAUAAAGAUCACUGUGACAUCGGACUGCUAGUAUGUUAGAAUCGUUUCUGACCCUGAAUUUUUGUAACGGUCAUGAAUCCAUGGUAGACAUGUUGCAUGACUGAAGCAGAGCUCUGAUUAGUCUUCUUAAGCAAUUUCCCUUUGUGUUGCUAACCCUUCUAGACUGCUGGGGCAAAAAUAUUUAUUGAUCUCUAUGUACCCAGCCACUGUGAUCAUUACUGGGGUAAAAUGAUGAAAAGAUAUACAUGGACUGUGGCUUCAUGUUUUUAAGGUUUAGAGUUUUUUAUUCAAAUGCCGAGACCUGAAACCUGAUGCUUAAGGUUAGCAUGUAAGGGGCUUUGAACCUGAAUUUAUUCGAAGACAACAAAGUUUAGCUGAAAGCUCAUUUAGUGCCUCCUCCACUGAAAGCCUUAAAACCAUUACCUUCUAAGAAAGAAAUGAGUUUAUUACGAAAACAUGGUGCUAAAGUUGACCUUAAAAGCAAUGUCAAUCUCUCAGAGCGACAGAGUAGAAAGAUGCCCACUUUGAUGAACACAGAAAUACCUAUUUUCCCUACCAACUCCUGGUGCUUAUCACCACUGAGUUAUUUACUUCAAGCCCAGCGUUUUUUACAGGGCCACUAGAGAAUGGAGUGUAACCCACUUACACCUCACCAUCCCAAAUGGGAGAUUAGUCUGCCUGUCAUUUGGCAAAGUGGAAUCCCAAUAAAAUUACCAAUAAGACAAGCUAUCAUUUUUAAUGCUGCUUGAGAAGGGCAGGUUUAAAUACAGUUUCAGAAGAUCUUGAGAGCAGAGGACAUUGGCAACAGGCACGGAUGACAAAUUGCAUCUUCUUCACAGGUGUGCUAGCACUCAAUGCUAAAGAUGGCACCCAGUUCAAGGUCAGCAAAUGGAAGGCAUCCUCGCCCACAACUCUUCAGUGGACAUGGCUUCUCUAUCAGAGAGCGCUUUUCAGCUAAGUCCAGAUGCAGGCCUGAAGUCUUCUCUGCCCAUCCCUCCAGAAGGCCACUGUGAUAACCUGAAUUGGGAAGGAAAGAGAAGCCCCGUUGCCUUCCAAGAUCACCUUCUUCUUUUUUUUUCCUCCAGGCAGAUUUUCAGGCUAAUUUUCCCAGGGGGAAAAAAAUUAGUAUCUCUCCUGUUUGAAAGCAUUCUGAGAUGAAAAUGAAAUAGAAAUUGAAGAUUGUUUCCAUUCUUAAGGGUUUUGGUCAAUCGUUUUUAGAAAUUUCUUCCUGGGAUUUAUAUUAUUUUCCUCCCACUUUACCUCUCCUGUGUCCAUUUUGGAGAAAAGCACCUCGUUUAUCUUUGGGAGACAGUAACGCAGAAACUGUAACUGAGCCGAUUUCCCCUUGAGGAUCAAAAUAUUUGUGUUAAAUGAAAUGAGAAAUCUGCUAAGUGGCGGCAUGCAUCCCCCAGGGAAGGAUAUUUUGUAAUUUUGAAAAAUUCCUACUGAAAUUCUUCUCUUGCCAAGAAAAGAGGAAUGAUUUCUGUUAAAAUUACUUCAUGUCUGAAUUACUCUCUGCCCCUCGGGAACAUAUAACAUUACAGCUUUUAUGCUCAGUAAUUUAGAAGGACGGGGGGACACCUUAUUUGGAAAGCAUGCAGACUUAACACGAAAUGUUGGGUAUUAAGUAGUUUCACCACAAAAGUCUCGUUUUGAAAAUUUUGCACUUAAACAGUUCAAAUUAAAGUUCGUUUUUAGAACUGGUUUUUAUGAUUGUCUGUAUAAGUCCUUUUAACUUUCUACUCUUAUCUCACCAUUCCCUGAAGCUGCAGAGAAAAUCCUUUGAUUGGUGUUCAAGAGUUGUACCUUUUAUAGAAAACAGGAUAGAUGGCAUCACUUUAAUAAGGCAGGUGCAUGCUUUGAAGCCAGUCAAAUAAGUUAAUUUUAUUAAAAUAUAUGUAUCUGCUUCUGUGUAUGUUAUAGUACAGGCUUUGGAAAGGCACGAGAGAUAGAAAAUAGGUUUAAACUCACAGGCCAACUCUGAUCAAGUAUUAUGGAUCCCACUGGCACUGUGUUGGGAAAGAUUCUGAGGCCAAAUUCAGGUUCAGGGGGAAAAAAAGUGAAAGAUGAGUAUUCUUCUUUGAUUACAGGUGGCCAAUUUUAAGCACAAGCACCAAACACAGAUGUCAUCACUGACACGUAUUAAAUAUCAAGAGAAGUGCCUUCUGGCUUGUGUAAUUGAAGUAGUUUUCUGUGUUUUCUAAUUUUCUGCAGUAAAUAUGUAUUGUUUCUGUGAUGAGAUUAAAGCUAUUUUUUAUUCUUUUUAAACUGGAAAAA
This 2737-nucleotide long non-coding RNA is filed under the name Homo sapiens (human). RNAcentral describes it as "HSALNT0358068". Lineage: Eukaryota; Metazoa; Chordata; Mammalia; Primates; Hominidae. The record is from RNAcentral.